CACGCCCUAAACGAUGUCAACUAGCUGUUGGGGGCUUCGGCUCUUGGUAGCGCAGCUAACGCGUGAAGUUGACCGCCUGGGGAGUNACGCGAAAAACCUUACCUACCCUUGACAUGUCUGGAAGGCUAAAGAGAUUUGGCUGUGCUCGCAAGAGAACUGGAACACAGGUGC
Molecule: ribosomal RNA, 171 nt
Filed under: uncultured bacterium
Lineage: Bacteria
Description: partial 16S ribosomal RNA
Source: RNAcentral